UCGCGGCUUAUCACCGGCAGUCCCCUUAGAGUGCCCAACUAAACGAUGGCAACUAAGGGCGAGGGUUGCGCUCGUUGCGGGACUUAACCCAACAUCUCACGACACGAGCUGACGACAGCCAUGCAGCACCUGUGCAAGUUGUCUCUUUCGAGACUCACGGGCUUUCACCCGCUUAGAAAUGCAUGUCAAGGCCUGGUAAGGUUCUUCGCGUUGCAUCGAAUUAAGCCACAUACUCCACCGCUUGUGCGGGCCCCCGUCAAUUUCUUUGAGUUUCAGUCUUGCGACCGUACUCCCCAGGUGCAGGACUUAACGCGUUAGCUCCGGGACGCUCCACGAACGUGAAGCACCCCAAGUCCUGAUCGUUUAGGGCUAGGACUAC
This 379-nucleotide unclassified non-coding RNA is filed under the name uncultured bacterium. RNAcentral's name for it is "contains 16S-23S intergenic spacer region". The record is from RNAcentral.